AGAACGCUGUGCGAUACCCAAUCACCCACCAGCUCCCAGAGACUUCCGCUUCCCUCCUCCAUCGGCAUCGUUAUCUUGUUUGUUACACCUAUACGUUUAUAUAUCUAUAUACGUAAACGUAUAUACCUAUACAGAGUCUGCCUUCUCUCUCUUUUAGUUUCCGUUGGUGCUUCAGCCACCUUUUCCGGUACUAUUACGACUUAAGCGACAACGACUAUUCCUACUUCUACUACCCAACCCAUCACGCGCAUACUCACUUCCUUCCUCCCUCUCCUUUAUCUUCGCUCCUCCUCCUUCCUCCUCCCCACUCGCUUCUGCAAGUCUCUUCUACUGUCUCUCUCAUUUCAACACGAUACUUCUUGCCUCCCCCCUCUCUCGCCCCACAGCACCAUGUCUAUCUACGACUUCAAGGUCAACGGCAGCGACCACCAGCCAUACGACCUUGGCCAGCACAAGGGCCAUCCGCUUCUCAUCUACAACGUAGCCAGCAAGUGCGGCUUCACCAAGGGCGGCUACGAGACAGCCACGACGCUAUACAACAAGUACAAGCAUCUCGGCUUCACGGUACUGGCGUUCCCGUGCAACCAGUUCGCCGGUCAGGAACCUGGAACAGAGGAGGAGGUGAAGGAGUUCGCCUGCACGCGUUUCAAGGCUGAGUUCCCCAUUAUGGAGAAGGUCUGUGUCAACGGCGAGCACGAGCACCCGCUGUACCACUACUUGAAGAGCAAGUGCAAGGGUAUCCUCGGCACGACGUUUGUGAAGUGGAACUUCACGGCGUUCCUGGUGGACAAGGACGGCCAUCCCGUGUGCCGCUUCGCGCCCGGUGCGACGGUGUCCGAAAUCGAGAAGAAGUUGCUGCCGCUACUGCAGGCUGACAGUGACGGUGCAAAGGUGUUGUCAAGCACUCAGUCGUGAAGGCAGCGGAUCGAGGGAUGCAGGGGCCGUAGCCGAUGGAGGGUAGAGAUUGAUUUAGUGCAGUUUGCGCGCACUGUAUACCCCGCCUAACGACGCCAAACAUAUCCCUUGGGACAUCUCGGAAGCGGUGCUGCACAGCUGCCCUCGGUUGUGCAGCAGGCCUCACUAAGCGCCUAAAGUCACGCACGUACCGUUGUGCACCCCGCUCACCCCACCUCUUGGAGCGUUUUCACUCGGUUCUGCUUCACCUUCUCUCUGAUAUCUCAUACUUAUGCUUGUCGACCCGCAUCAUCAUUGCCAUCGGCACUUUCUCCCCUUUUUCAUUACUGAUCCACGGAAACGCGUUCUGUUCCGUUCUCUUCGUUGCCUGCAUGUGUGCCCUGGGAAGCAAGCGGGUGAGGAGGGAGCGAAGGGGAAGGCAGCUGUGUCAUUUGUGUGCGUCGCUUUCUCCACCCGUUUCCACCUGUACGCCAUGAUGGUUGCGCAUUCAUCGAUUCCAAAGUAGUUGCGACUGUGGAUGCUACUGCGCUUAACCCUCCAUGUCGGUUUGGCUUCCGUACGGCCAUGGUGCUUUUUGGCGCGCGCGCGCGCACACACACACACACACACACACGCAUACGCAGGAACACGGGAUGCUGGCGUACGUUUCUCAAUAUGUUGGUGUGGUUUUGCAUCUGUGGUGCGGGUGAGCAAGAACCAGCAGUGCAGGAGCGACGGAAGAAAGGCGCAGGCGGCUUCCUCUUUGUGUGUGUGUGUUGCUCUACCUUGUACUCUGUGUAUCUUGUGCGUGCACGUAGUGUAGCUCAGCUGAUCGCACGUUGACAGAGGGUGUAAGAGUCAACGAGCAACAUACGUACGUACGCAUCACGUCCGCCUCUCCCCCUUUUCUGUCCCUUACCUCUCUCCACACCUCCGUGUCUGUGUGUACAUGUGCCUCUCGCACCCCUCCCCCUCCUCCUCUCCUCCCUCGACUGCGUCAUUCUCUUCUCACCCGCAGCCGAAUAUUCUCCGAUGAGCAUUUCUACUUGUCUUUCGCUCCGCGCACCGUCAUCCGUCAAGCCGUGUGCGCAUGUCUUGCGUGUCUCUCGCCCCUACCCCUCUCCAUCUCCACCUUAUUCGCCCACUGUGGCGCUUCUGC
RNAcentral lists this unclassified non-coding RNA (2053 nucleotides) under Leishmania donovani. RNAcentral's name for it is "gene:LdHU3.26.1030(CDS-product:type_II_(glutathio ne_peroxidase-like)_tryparedoxin_peroxidase)". The record is from RNAcentral. Lineage: Eukaryota; Euglenozoa; Kinetoplastea; Trypanosomatida; Trypanosomatidae.